This 658-nucleotide ribosomal RNA is filed under the name Salmonella enterica subsp. enterica serovar Infantis. RNAcentral's name for it is "partial 23S ribosomal RNA". It matches the Rfam family "Bacterial large subunit ribosomal RNA", at positions 711 to 1284 of the family's 2925-position model. RNAcentral also lists the same sequence under 1 other name. Lineage: Bacteria; Pseudomonadati; Pseudomonadota; Gammaproteobacteria; Enterobacterales; Enterobacteriaceae. The record is from RNAcentral.
AGACCCGAAACCCGGUGAUCUAGCCAUGGGCAGGUUGAAGGUUGGGUAACACUAACUGGAGGACCGAACCGACUAAUGUUGAAAAAUUAGCGGAUGACCUGUGGCUGGGGGUGAAAGGCCAAUCAAACCGGGAGAUAGCUGGUUCUCCCCGAAAGCUAUUUAGGUAGCGCCUCGUGAAUUCAUCUCCGGGGGUAGAGCACUGUUUCGGCUAGGGGGCCAUCCCGGCUUACCAACCCGAUGCAAACUGCGAAUACCGGAGAAUGUUAUCACGGGAGACACACGGCGGGUGCUAACGUCCGUCGUGAAGAGGGAAACAACCCAGACCGCCAGCUAAGGUCCCAAAGUCAUGGUUAAGUGGGAAACGAUGUGGGAAGGCCCAGACAGCCAGGAUGUUGGCUUAGAAGCAGCCAUCAUUUAAAGAAAGCGUAAUAGCUCACUGGUCGAGUCGGCCUGCGCGGAAGAUGUAACGGGGCUAAACCAUGCACCGAAGCUGCGGCAGCGAACGUAUCACUUAAAGCGAUUCAGCGGGUUACGAUUGACGGAGCGAAGCGACGUCAAAGCGUAUACAAAGUCGAGUCGGUUUAAGGAUACGUUCGUUGGGUAGGGGAGCGUUCUGUAAGCCUGUGAAGGUGUGUCGUGAGGCAUGCUGGAGGUAUCA